UUAUUCUUUCUCCUCAUUUUUAACUAUAUUUUUUCUAACUUGAUUAUGUUGUAUUUUGCAGAAAUGAUAUUUUUCUCUAUCUAACAAACAAAAAGAUGAAAAACUUCAUGCUACACAAAAGAUUAAGAAUGCAUACCAAGAAAGAAAAACACGGGAAGCAAAACACUUUCAAGAAAUGAAACAGGAAAACAAAGCACAUACCAAGAAAUUGGAAGAACUUGUAUCUGGAGAGGAGAAGAAUGAAACCACACCACCAAAUUGG
Trifolium pratense (red clover) is the source of this 262-nucleotide long non-coding RNA. RefSeq lists it as uncharacterized. Lineage: Eukaryota; Viridiplantae; Streptophyta; Magnoliopsida; Fabales; Fabaceae. The transcript is spliced from 3 exons. The record is from RefSeq and is a predicted model, not a curated record.